RNAcentral lists this ribosomal RNA (419 nucleotides) under Drosophila longicornis. RNAcentral describes it as "partial 12S ribosomal RNA". The record is from RNAcentral. Lineage: Eukaryota; Metazoa; Arthropoda; Insecta; Diptera; Drosophilidae. RNAcentral also lists the same sequence under 3 other names.
UCAUUCUAGAUACACUUUCCAGUACAUCUACUAUGUUACGACUUAUCUUACCUUAAUAAUAAGAGCGACGGGCGAUGUGUACAUAUUUUAGAGCUAAAAUCAAAUUAUUAAUCUUUAUAAUUUUACAACCAAAUCCACCUUCAAAAAUUUUUUCAUAAUUUUAUCCGUUUAAAUAAAUUUAUUGUAACCCAUUAUUACUUAAAUAUAAGCUACACCUUGAUCUGAUAUAAAUUUUAAUUAAAAUUAUUGAAUAUUAUUAUUCUUAUAAAAUAUUCUGAUAACGACGGUAUAUAAACUGAUUACAAACUUAAGUAAGGUCCAUCGUGGAUUAUCGAUUAAAAAACAGGUUCCUCUGGAUAGACUAAAAUACCGCCAAAUUUUUUAAGUUUCAAGAACAUAUCUAUUACUACUUAAAUAUU